RNAcentral lists this ribosomal RNA (582 nucleotides) under Lodderomyces orthopsilosis. RNAcentral's name for it is "LSU rRNA". It matches the Rfam family "Eukaryotic large subunit ribosomal RNA", at positions 56 to 658 of the family's 3401-position model. Lineage: Eukaryota; Fungi; Ascomycota; Pichiomycetes; Serinales; Debaryomycetaceae. The record is from RNAcentral.
UGAGAACCAACAGGGAUGCCUUAGUAGCGGCGAGUGAAGCGGCAAAAGCUCAAAUUUGAAAUCUGGCACUUUCAGUGUCCGAGUUGUAAUUUGAAGAAGGUAUCUUUGGGUCUGGCUCUUGUCUAUGUUUCUUGGAACAGAACGUCACAGAGGGUGAGAAUCCCGUGCGAUGAGAUGUCCCAGACCUAUGUAAAGUUCCUUCGAAGAGUCGAGUUGUUUGGGAAUGCAGCUCUAAGUGGGUGGUAAAUUCCAUCUAAAGCUAAAUAUUGGCGAGAGACCGAUAGCGAACAAGUACAGUGAUGGAAAGAUGAAAAGAACUUUGAAAAGAGAGUGAAAAAGUACGUGAAAUUGUUGAAAGGGAAGGGCUUGAGAUCAGACUUGGUAUUUUGUAUGUUACUCUCUCGGGGGUGGCCUCUACAGUUUACCGGGCCAGCAUCAGUUUGGGCGGUAGGACAAUUGCAAAGAAAUGUGGCACUGCCUCGGUAGUGUGUUAUAGUCUUUGUCGAUACUGCCAGCCUAGACUGAGGACUGCGGCUUCGGCCUAGGAUGUUGGCAUAAUGAUCUUAAGUCGCCCGUCUUGAA